Molecule: non-coding RNA, 123 nt
Filed under: Palpitomonas bilix
Lineage: Eukaryota
Source: RNAcentral
CACUCAUCUAUCACAAAAUUGACACACGCAGAAAGAGAAAGGGUGAAAGAGAGAGAGAAAAAAGCGAAGGAGUGUGAGUACUCCUUGCUUCCUCCCUUUCUUCUUCUUCUUUUUUUUUUUAUU